AUCCUCAAGUUGGAUGGUCUCCCAUUUCUGUGCGAAGACCCUGUACUCAAACUGGACAUUAAAUCUUGCAGCAUAUUUUUUCAAGCGACGCCCCGUCUCGUCAACUCUUUCUGUAGGUCGAAAACCAGGUUGGGGAAGCUCAAUUGCUGUCAAACGUAUGCUAGGAGGUCCACCAUUUCUCUCCGAGAGGCGUUGGAUAAGGCAAGGCCAUUGGAAACCAUACGAAAUACCGAAAUCAACAAUGUGAAGCCUUGUUGCUUUUUCAGCUAGUUUAAUAAUUGUCCUGUUGGAAAAGAAGUGUAACAUAUGCUUGAAAGGGCAAUAAUUAACAUACAUCUGGUGGGCUUUUAAGAUUUCAGCGGCUGGUAUCUGUAUACUCAGAAGAGGUGAAUACGAUGGGGUUCUGGCUCCCACCAAGCGCGCCUCUAGGCCAUCAGCAAAGUAAUGAGCUAAUCUCUCGGUUGCAUCACCAUAGGGGGAAGAGUGCUUCCUUAUCUGCUUCAGUAGUUCACUCGCACUUCGUUGGUCAUAGCUUGCCGUGGCCUGUGCACAUUGAGUUAGCAGGGUGCUAAUAUCCACAACUUCCCGGUAGUUAUUCUGUUUCUUCAAGCGUGUUGUUUUAGACCCUUUUGACUGCUUGUUAGGCUGCAACUUCUCACUUCCCUCACUGCUCAAAGGUUUGUCACGAAUACAAGACCCAUGCGUAUGAUUCACAUGACAGAGUAAUACCCUAUCAAACAUUUCUUGUGGCUCAGUGUCGUCGCCUAAAGCAGCUGACUGCUUGUUGCUUCUCCCUCCAUCUUCAUAAUCACCAUCCUCCCUUUGAUGAUUCUUCUUUCCCUUCAAUCUGUUUGCUGAGAUGUAGCCAUCAUUCUCUGGCUCCGGUGCGGAAUUCCUCCUCAGUGUGUUAUCGCCCGGGGGAACUAAUUGGUACCUCUCCAAGUCAAUAAUUCCAUGUUUCAGGUUUGGAACGAGAUUUCCUGCCUCCCCAACUCCUCCAAAAUUCCCAGAAGUUGAGUUUGAAACCAAAAGGGUUUCUGAAGAAUCGAAAACCGAGUCUGUCUUAGCAGCCACAGAAUCAUUACUGCUAUAACUCUGUGAGGAAUCAUCAUCUGAGUGCUCAAAGCUUUGGUACACCGGAAGAGGCGGUUGGUCAGGCGAAGGAGGAUCCUUCGGAUUAAGGACAUCAUAGAAAGAUUUCUCAGCAGCUUGGAGGGCCAAACAGUUCUGCAACAUGCAAGGCUGAUCCUCCAAAUCUUCUUCCAGAAGAAUAUCACUUAUGUACUUGAUCACCGAAUGAUUACAGUCACUCAUGUCAAAAGAAUCUCCAUCUGAUCCCGGGUUCGAACACCCGGAAUCAGUUGGAUGCUCAGGGGUUGUUGGAAGGAAAAGUGGAUUGGUGGGUUCAUGAUUCACUUGGAAUUGAGUAGAACCAAAUUGGAAGUUCUGCAUGGGACUUGAUGAUCUUUCAAAAAGGGUAUCCAUAAAAACAACCAAUUUAGCAGAAACUGGUCAGAUUUAUCAGGUUUUUCAAGAAAACCCAAUUGAGAUAUUGGAUUUUUGGAACUGAUGGCCAAGAAAAGUUGGGGAAAACAAGAAAGUGAUAUAAUUUCAAUCUUAUAUUAUGCAAUUCACUCAGAAAAUAAGAUAUCAAUCCAAUUGGGUGAGUGAGAAAUACUCAAGAAAUAUAUACAGAUUUGAGGUUGUGGAACAUCAUCCAACAGGUUAUGAACAGAAUCAAGAUUUGAACAAACAAAAAUUGACAAUUCUCAGAGUACCUCUUGGUCUUUUGAGUUGCAAAAUACUUCACACCUGAGAAAAAAGCAACAGUGGAUUAUAAAAUUUGAUUGCAGGCAUAUACAAAAAUUAUAUAUAUGUAGUGAUUAUCCUUUGUUUCUUCAUUCAUACAUGCAUGAACAUUAACUUUCCGGGAAGGUCUUUUAAGUCUUUAGCCUUUAUUCUUUAACUCUUAAGGUUAGUCAAAGUCAGCAGCCACCCACCAGCUUUGUGUCUGUGUCCGGAAUUUAUGGGAUUUGCGUUGGAUGCUUGCUCUAUACAUCAACACAUUCUUUCACGAUAAUUCGCAUUUUUUUCUAACUGGUCGUAUCGUUUGUCAACAAACUACAAUUCUCACCAUAAGUGAUAAGUCAUACUUUCUAUCAAACUUAUUUACCAUGUGUGCUAGUAUACCAAUAUUAUAGCGUAACUAGUGCAUUGAAUAUACACGUAGUAAAUUAUACGAAAUUGAUAUACAAAUUAUAGGAAAUUGAUAUACAAAUUAUAGGCAAUUGAUAAGAAGUUUGAUCAAGCUCCAUAGGCAGAGAUGGAUAAGAGAAAAUUUAGAGUGAAAAAGAAGCUAUAAGAUAUAAUUCAAAGAGAAAACAAAUUUUGGGCACCACAUUGUGAAACUCCUAAGCAGGUUUCAAAGCAGAAAGAGCCAUGACAAUUCUUCCUUUCCAUCCCUGCAGCAUCCAGUGGCCAUCUUCAUCGAUUCGAAAAUCGUUGUGAUAGCGCAUCAACUUCAGCAUAGCUUUCACUUUCCUCAUGAGCUCCUGGUCUAGCGGCACCUGCUUGAACCCUGCCCGCUGAUACCUAACCUGCCAAUGCUUGUAUGUCUCCGGCCUUUCAACUCGUUCGAUCCCCUCGCAUGCUAUAACAUUCAUUAUGUCUCUACCAUAUACUGCUCCUUCAAACAUCAGCCGGUGUUCAUCUUCGCGAGGAAUAGUGGCCUCAAACAUAUCAAACAGCGAAGAGUAAUGGAAGAGUGCUUCUCUGAACCGCUUGACAAAGAAGGGCGAAUUGUAUGUCCCGUUGACAACUCCGUGAAUGAAAAGAUCUGGAUUUAUUUUCUUGAUCAAGUUAAGGACAGUGUCUCUCGGACUGCUCAUCACGACUGUUUCAUCAGGUAUGUGCCUUAAUCGGCGCAUACAGUUAACAACAGUCAGCUCAUUCCUGUCAACUUUAAGAUCCUCAAAUCGGAUAGUUUCCCAUUUCUGAGCAAUGACAUUAUACUCAAAUGGGACAACGAAUCUCUUAGCAUAUUUUUCUAAGCGACGCAUUGUCUCUUCAACCCUUUCAGUAGGUCGAAAACCUGGUUGGGGGAGCUCAAUUGCUGUGAAACGAAGAUUAGGAGGUCCACCACAUCUCUCCGAGAGGCGUUGGAUAAGGCAUGGCCAUUGGAAACCAUACGAAAUACCAAAAUCAAUAAUGUGAAGCCUCGUAGCAUUUUCCGCCAGUUUCAUAAUUGUUCUAUUGGCGAAGAAGUACAUCAUCUUCAUGAAAGGGCAUGAAGUAAUAUACACCUGGUGAGCUUUUAAGAUUUCGGUAGCUGGUGUCUGCGGACUUAAAAGAGGAGAAUAUGAGGGGGUUCUGGAGCCAGCCAACCGCGCCUCUAGGGCGUUAGCAAAGUAAUAAGCUAAUCUCUCGGUUGCCUCACCAUAGGGAGAAGAGUGCUUCCUUAUCUUCUUGAUUAGUUCACUCGCUGUUUGCUGGUCAUAGCUUGCCACAGCUUGUGCGCAUUGAGUCAGCAUUGUGCACAAAUCUACUACUUCCCUGUUCUUAUUCUUUGUCUUCGAGCGUGCUGCCUUAGAAACUUUUGGUUGCUUGUUGCACUUCAACUUCCCACUUCCGUCAGUUUUGACAGACUGAUCAUCAGAACAAGACUCAAACGCACGCCUCGCAUCCUUAUACAGCAAAACCUCAUCAAACAUUUCUUGUGGCUCGGGCCCAUCAGCAGAAGCAGCCGACUGUUUGUUGCUUCUCCCUUCUUCUGUAUAAUCGCCAUCCUCCCUCAGGUGAUUUUUCUUUGACUUCAAUCUAUAUGUUGAGUUGUAGGCAUCCGAUGAAGACUCAACCGGACAAGAUUGGAUAUGAGAGAUUUCUGAACCCGAAACCGAGUCUGUCCUAGCAGCAACACAGCCAAUACUAAUAUGGCAACUCUCUUUGAAAUCAUCAUCUGAGUUCUCAAAGCUUCGGUCCACCGGAAGAGGGGAUUGACUGGACGAAGGGCCCUUCGGUUUAAGAACAUCAUAGAAAGAUUUCUCGGCAGCUUGGAGGGCCAAGCAGUCCUGCAACAUGCAGGGCUUACCCUCCAAAUCUUCUUCCAAAAGAAUAUCGCUUAUGUACUUGAGCACGGGAUGAUUGCAAACACUAAUAUCAAAAGUAUCUCCAUCUGAACCCGAGCUCGAAAACUCGGAUUCACUUGGAUGGUCUGAGUUGGGCGGAAGGAAAAGUGUAUUGGUGGGUUCAUGGUUCACUUGGAAUCCAUUUACAAGAUUCUGGGACGAGCUCGAAUCACUAUGAUUGUGGUCCAAGUUUGUUGGAAGAAAAAUUGGAUUGGUGGAUUCAUGAUUUCCAAGAUUUUGAUUAGAUCCCUGACCAACAGUGAAUCUUUCCAUGGGAACAUAAAAUCUUUCAAAAAGGGUAUCCAUAAAAACAAUUAAUUUAGCAGGAACUCGUCUGGUUUCUUAGAUUUGAAGAACCUCAGCUGUGGUGUUGGAAUUUUGGAAAUGAUGAUCAGGAAGCUUUGGAAAGCAAGAACUGCAGCCAAUUGAGAGAGAGAGAGAGAGAGAGAGAAAAUAUCAGCUAGCAGAUUAUGAACACAAAUAAGAUUAAACAAGAAAAAAAAAGAAGAGAAUAUCUAGACAUACUGAAAUUGGUUAAAACAGUGUGCUCACUUCUCUUCUCGUCCGAACGUUCAAAUCCACUUCGCUGUAGUUGAGAUUUGAUUAGUUAGAAUAUCGCUCGAAUGAAAAUUAAAACCUGAAAUUCUUCACUCUUUGUUCUGUAUGUCUAAAAUCAAAAUGAAUCAGAGCGUCAGUGGAGGGAUAUAUAAACCUGUUCACAGUAAUGAAACAUUCAUCUGGGGGAGGUCCUUCCUCCUAAUAUAGGACAAAAUCAGCCGCCACCUUCUAAACAAAAUGGGAAAAACCAUAUAGACAUAUAUAGUGAAAAAGACCCUAAGCGUAAAGAUGAACUGCACUUGGGCUAAAACAACAAUAUGUGUAAAUCCGCGUGGGAUUAUUAUUGUCUUAACUUUAAAUAUUCACCACGCUAAUUUGUAUUUUAAUAGACGCUAACGGCUGACCAUCUUUUUGAUUAAUUCAUGGACGUUUGAAAAUUAAAAAAGAACGUCUAGAUAUGCCUAGGCGCAUAUGCCUAAACCGUGACUCUCAUUUAGACAGAAAAUCGAGAACUUUCGUUUUGCAUUUUAUUUUUUCAAUAAAUUAUAGGAGACUUGUUGAAUACUUGAAUAAAUACUCAUUAUAUGUUUGUUUUCCGUGUUUUCGAUAUGUUUUAAUACUUUAUAAUCUACAUGUCAUUUUAUUUGGCAAUUUAUGUAUCCCAAUACAAUUAUGUAUUUUUUAAGUAUAAAUAGUUAUUUAUUUAUAUGUUAGGUAAUAAAUUUAAUUAAUUAAAAAAACCGCUAGGUCCUACCUAAACGCCUAGGCGCUAGCCCCUGCAUAACGCCUGAGCAGCGCUUAGCGUAUUUUAGAACCUUGUUUCGGCUGGAAACCACUUGCAAUCGUGCUAACGUGUAAACAGCAAUAGCAGCCUCCCUGCUGCUAUUGACUAGUAACAGGUAAAAGUAAAAACAUUUCCUUCAAUUUAAACAAGAUUUGAAAGGUAACAUCCGUUUCUUCAUUCAAUAUGUUGAUUGAACCUAGUGAGUAAACGAGACGUACAGGAAAUAUUGAAGAUACAAGAAAAUACAGAUUUUAUGCAUCACAAAGUGAAACUCCUACGCAGGCUUCAAAGCAGUAAGUGCUAAGACGAUUCUUCCUUUCCAUCCCUGCAGCAUCCACUGGCCAUCAUCUUCAAUUAGGAAAUCACUAUGAUACCCCAUCACCUUCGACAUGGUCUUCACUUUCUUCAAGAGCGCUCGGUCUAACGGCAGCUGCUUGAACCCGAUCCUCGCAUACCUAGCCUGCCACUGCUUGUAUGUCUCCGGCCUUUCAACUCUCUCCUGCCCCUCGCACGCUACAACAUUUAUUAUGUCCCUCCCAAAUAUUGCUCUUUCAAACAACAUUCUUUGUUCAUCUUCGCGUGGAACAGUGGCCUCAUACAUAUCAAAGAAUGUGUAGAAGUGGAAGAGCGCCUGUUUGAACCGUGUGACAAAGGCGGGCGCAUUGUAUGUUCCAUUGACAACUCCGUGCAUGAAAAGGUCUGGAUUGAUUCUCUUGAUCAAAUUUAAGACAGCAUCUCUUGGAUUGUUCGCCAUCACUGUUUCAUCAGGAAUUUGCUUCAACCGGUGCAUGCAGUUAACCACGGUCACCUCAUUUCUGUCAAUACGAAAAUCCUCCAAUUGAAUGGUUUCCCAUUUCUUAGCAAUGACAUUGUACUCAAAUGGGACAUUAUACCUCUCACAGUAUUUAGUUAAGCGACGCCCCGUCUCUUCAAUUAUCUCGGCAGGUCGAAAGCCUGGUUGGGGAACCUCAAUUAAUGUGAUACAAAGUUUAGGAGGCCCGCCAGUUUUCUCUGAGAGACUUUGGAUAAGGCAGGGCCAUUGCAAACCAUAAGAAAUGCCGAAAUCAAUAAUGUGAAGCCUUGUCGCCUUCUCUGCUGUUUUCAUAAUUGUUCUGUUGGCAAAGAAGUGCACCAUCUUCUUGAAAGGGCAUGCAGUAACAUACACCUGGUAAGCCUUUAAGAUUUCGGCUUCUGGUAUGUGCAUCAUUAUAAGAGGGCAAUAUGACGGGUUUCUGGCACCAGCCAACCGCGCCUCUAAGCCAUCAGCGAAGUAAUGAGCUAAUCGCUGGGUUGAAUCACUGUAGGGCGAAGUGUGCUGCCUUAUCUGCUUGAGUAGUUCAUUUGCAGCUUGUUGGUCAUAGCAUGCCACAGCUUCUGCGCAUUCAGUUAGCAGUUUGUACAGGUCUACUACCUUCCCGUUGCUGUUUUGUUUCUUUCCACGUGAUGCUUUUGAUCCUUUUGACUGCUUCUUAUGCUGCAACAUCCCAUUUCCCUUGGAUUGCGAAGGUUCAUCAUGAGAACAAGAGUCAGGUUCAUGGUUCACACUCUGUAGUACCGUAUCAUAUAUUUCUUGCAGAUCAGAACUGUCACAAGCAGCAGCUGACUGCUUGUUUCUUCUUCCUUCUUCUGUGUCAUAGCCAUCCUCCCGCUGAUGAUUCUUCUUUCCCUUUGAUCCAUUUGUUGAGUUGUAGCCAUUCUUCGAUGCCAAAUUCCCAAUCAGUUUGCAAGGACCUGGAGGCCACUGAUCAGAACCUGAAGGCACUAACUGGUCCCUCUUAGGGUCAAUGAUUUCACAACUUUUUUUUGGAACGAACUUGAUUCCUUCCUCUACAGAAAACGAAUCCGGAACGUUAAGGGUAUCCGAUAUAGGCUCAAAGAGUGAAGACUGGACAUGACAGAGUUGUGAAACAUCCCAACCACAGCCGCUAUUAGCAGAAAUAUAGCCAUUACUGCUAUAAAAACUGGCAAUAGAGCCAUCACUGCUAUGAAAACCGACAUCGGAAUUCUCAAAGCUUUGGUACACAGAAAAAGUGGGUUGGUUGAGUAAAGGAGGGUUUUCCGAAUUAAGGGCAUCAUGAAAAGAUUUUUCAGCAAUUUGGAGGGCCAAGGAUUGCUGCAACUUGCAGGCCUUACCCUCCAAAUCUUCCUCCAGAAGAAUAUCACUUAUGUACUUGAGCACAGGUUGAUUGCAAUCACUGAUGUCGAUAUUAUCAGCAUCCGAACCCGCGCUCAAAGAAGUUCUUGAAACACUAGGAUGAUCUAAGUUGGAUGGAAGGGAAUUUGGGUUGGUGGAUUCAUGAUUCUCUUUGAACCCAUCUGCAAGAUUCUCAUCAGAACAGACUGAAUUCGAGCCAUUGCCGAAUUCAAAUCCUUCAGUGGGGGCAGAAAAUCUUUCAAUAUCCAUGAAAACAAACUAUCUAGCAGGAUUAGCUCAAAAUUCUUAAUUUUCAAGGCUCAAAAGUGAUGAAAUUUGGAAUUGAUAAAUAAAAAAAGGAAUUAAAGAAGGAAAAACUAAGAAAUAUUGCAGAGUACCUGAUUACUUGUGGAACAGUACACUGAUCAGACAGAUGCUAUUUUUUAUUUUAAAAUAAAAUCUGCGGAAACAUCAUCAUACUGCAUAUUUUAAUGAAACUUCUGGCAAGGUCUGAAUUCAAAAGUUUGACAAAGUCAGUAGUCAAAUUUUAAUAAAAUUGCAGUCCAUAUAGAUUAUAGAGUAAGGCUGCUUUAACUCCUGUCAUGGUAGGUGGGUGGUCAAGAGUCAAUUGGACCAUAAACAUAAAAAUCAACUUUGCAGGGGCCAAUCAACAAAUUAGGUAAGUCCUUGCCUGUCAAUCUAUACCUUUCCUGGGUUCCCAACAUAAUUUUCUAUUCAAAGUUUUUGCAAGGGUGAAAAUUGACCGUGUCAAUUAUAAGGUAUGAAAAGAUUGAAAUUUGAUUACAACCAAUACAAAACAAAUAAAUAAAAAUAAGGGUACUAAAAGUAAAACCUAGAAAAUUCUAAUCAGUCAUAUUUUGCUUCUGCUAUGAUGUAAGAUCUCACAUCAACUAACAGAGAGGGGAUGAUGUGCCUUGUAUGUACAUGCUCCCCUCCCUAUAGCACGAGGCCUUUUGGGAACUCACUGGCUCUGGAUUCCACAAGAACUCUAAAGUUAAGUGAGUUUGGGUGAGAGCAGUUCUAGGAUGGGUGACCUCUCUGGGAAGUUCUCGUGCUGAAACCCAAAAACAAAAUCGUGAGGGAAUGGUAAGCCUAGAGCGGACAAUAUCGUGCUACGGCGGAGCUGAGCUGGGAUGUGACAAUUUGGUAUCAAAGCCACUCUGCUGUUCGGUGCGGGUGUGCCGAGGAGGACAUCGAGCCUUUAAGGGGGUGGAUUGUGAGAUUCCACAUCACCUAGGGGAUAGGAUCCUAUAUGCCUUAUAUGUACAUGCUCACCUCCCAUUUGCAAGACACGUUUUGGGAACUCACUAGUUCUGGAUCCCAUACUAACUCAGAAGUUAAGUGACUUUGGGCGAGAGCAGUCCUAUGAUGGGUGACCCCCCGGGAAGUUCUCGUGCUGAAACCCAGAAACAAAAUCGGGGGGUCAUCCAUCCUAGGAUUGCUCUCGCCCAAACUCACUUAACUUCGAAGUUCUUAUGGGAUUCGGAGCCAGUGAAUUCCCAAAACGCGUCUUGCAAGAGCCACUCUGUCAUUCGGUGUGGGUGUGCCGAGGAGGACAUCGGGCCCCUAAGGGGGUGGAUUGUGAGAUCCCACAUCGUCUAGGGGAGAGGAUCCUCUAUGCCUUAUAUGUACAUGCUCACCUCCCAUUUGCAAGACGCGUUUUGGGAACUCACUGGCUUCGGAUCCCAUAAGAACUCCGAAGUUAAGUUAGUUUGGGCGAGAGCAAUCCUAGAAUAGGUGACCCUCCUGAGAAGUUCUCGUGCCGAAACCCAAAAACAAAACUGUGAAGGAAUGGUAAGCCUAUAACGAAUAAUAUCGUUCUAUGACCAUAUGAAUUCACCAACAACUAGUAUAACAAUUUUUAGGUUUUUUUUUUCUGUUUAAGUUGCAAUUUUCUUCAUUGCUGCCAUAGAUUUUGGCUUUUUUAAUCAUUGAUUAUCAAGCUUUAUAGAAGUUUGACACUUUGACUGCAGAGUUCUUUUUCUUUCUGAAGUAAUAAUUUGUAUUUGAUUUAGGGGUGGGCACGGGUCAGGCUAGGCCCAAAUUUGAAGGGACAGGACCGGACCCAGGUGCAAAGGAGACGGGUCGGGCCGAGUCAAGGAUUACAUUUUCUUAUAUAGGAACUGGACUUUACCCGGCUCGGUUGAAACAGACCGGUUCAGGUCGGGUCCAUGGGUCCUUGGUUUUUUUUAUUUUUUUGAAAAAUAUAAAAAAACUGGAAUUUACACAAAUUGCAUAGAUUAUGCAAUAGGAAACCCAGAUAAUGCAAGAGGAAAGAUUUUGAAAAAAUUCCAAUUCCAAAACCUAUUUCCAUAUAAAUCUUGAGCAUAAACAUCUCCGAACAAAGCAGAUCAAGACUCAGUAGAUCAAUACUCACAACAGAAACCCAGAUGAUAUAAUCCACAGAAAAUUGAAGCGCAUAGUGAAAUUAACAAAGUUUAAAUAUUUAGCAGAUCAUUAGGUAUAUAGGCAUCACAAGAAAUCCUUAAUAAAUACUAACAAAUCUUGAUAUGAAAGCCCUAAUACGAAGCUAAGAGUGACCUAACACACAUUGAGAGAUCAAUACUCUUCUGCCUUAGCAUCCUCAGCAGCAGUAGAUUCAACUGCAGAGCUCGCAGUCUCGGACUCCGUGGCACCGUUUUGAGCAGCGAAAGCAACGACAUUCCUGGACUUGAUGGUGUCGAGCAUGUGCUUGCUGAUCUCCUUGGAGUAAACUUGCAGGAUCUUAAUCCCAUCAUCCUCAAUAAGGGGAGGGGACGACGCACUCGAGACGACGAAUGAGAGGUGACAAAUCGAGAAGAUGAGUGGUAGGGUGGCUGGGUUAUGUAAGUCUGGGUCCUUAGGAAGUCAAAUCGAGACGUUGAGAGAGAAGUGACAAAUCAAGAAGAUGGUGGUCGCCUGGGCGAUCGUGCUAUCGAGGUGGUGGAGGGAAGAGGACGACGCACUGGAGACGGCGAGAGAGACUCGAUCGACAGAGUGAGAGUGACAGUUGAAUUCGAUAAGUUUGAGGACAAGCAAACUUAAAACCAACGAUUUAGAUUAGAUGGAGAGAUGAUCUCUUCAAUCUCAUCCGUCCAUUCUAACUACAAACGGGCCGGUCCAGGUACCCACGGUUCCUAUACUUCAGGACUGGCCUGAACCAAAAAUUUCAAAGGCUCAUCCCUCCCUGUUUCUGUUUUUACAAAAUAGGAACUGGCCCGUACCUUCCCCGAACCUUAAUUACCCUCCCUGACCCACGGUUCCUGUACUCGUUUGCCCACCCCUAAUUUGAUUCACUGUUUUUAGGCAUUCCCACAUUUGGCGUUAUGAUUAGAUUAGAUUGGAUAACACUGUAGAUUCAAGAGUCCAAGCUGAAGGCAAAAGAGAGAUUAGUUCUAAAAAGAGCAUAUCCCCAAAUCCAAUCCUACCAAUUUAUGGGAAUUGAAAGGAAUGAAUUUCCUUAGUGACUAAUCUACCGAAUUCCCUCAACUUAGACAAAAUGGAAAAGUACACUUGUAUUUCUUACUUCAACGUACCUUAGGUGUAGUGAGUUAUCCAAUCCAAUCCAAUCCAAUCGUAAACACUAAAAUGUCCUAAGAAUUUCAAGUCAUAAGAAGAGUUAAGCGUUUAACAACCAUAUGUUGGCAAAAGAGUGUAUUUAUCAAGAACAGGUUCAAAAUAUUACAUAUCCAAGAUCAAGCUCCCAUAGGCAGCAAUGAAUAAAUGAAAAAUAAACAAUAAACUCAUAAAACCAAGAACAAAGCAGUAUGCACACCCUUGUCCCUGGAUGGAAUAUUACACAAAAAAUUCAACAACAAAGAGAAUAAAGAUUGUAAUAGUUGCCUAGGCCGGCACCCAAAUUGAAAGAGCCAAGAUAGUUCUUCCUCUCCAUGACUGCAACAUCCAGUUCCCGUCUUCGUCAAUCCUAAAAUCAUCAUGAUAAGACUUCAACAUUUUCUUCACUCGCUUCAAAAGAGCUUGGUCUAGUGGGAGCUGCUUGAACCCAGCCCUCACGGUCCGAACCUGCCACUGCUUGUAUGUCUCAGGCCUUUCAACUCUUUCCAGUCCCUCACAAGCUACAACAUUCACUAUGUCUCUACCGUGAAUUGCUUUUUCAAACAACUGACGCAUUUCAUCUUCGCGGGGAACAGUGGCCUCAAAGAUAUCAAAGAAUGCAGAGUAGUGGUAAAGUGCCUCUCUGAACCGUGUGGCAAAGAAGGGUGCAUUGUAUGUCCCAUUGACAACCCCAUGAAUGAAAACGUCUGGAUUAAUUUUCUUGAUUAACUUCAGCACAAUAUCUCUUGGACUGCUUGCCAUCACCGUCUCAUCAGGUAUAUGCUUUAAACGGCACAUACAAUUGACCACAGUCAGCUCACUUCUGUCAAUUUUAAGAUCCUCAAAUUUGAUUGUCUCCCAUUUCUGAGCAAUGACAUUGCACUCAAAUGGAACAUUAAAUCUCUCAGCAUAUUUUUUCAACCGACGCGCAGUCUCUUCAACUCUUUCUGUAGGUCGAAAACCUGGUUGGGGAAGCUCAAUUGCUGUGAUACGAAGCUUAGGCGGUCCACCAGUUCUCUCCGAGAGAUGUUGGAUAAAGCAGGGCCAUUGGAAACCAUACGAAAUACCAAAGUCAAUAAUGUGAAGCCUUGU
Molecule: long non-coding RNA, 12247 nt
Filed under: Malus domestica (apple)
Lineage: Eukaryota; Viridiplantae; Streptophyta; Magnoliopsida; Rosales; Rosaceae
Source: RNAcentral